GACUUGCAAACCUCAACACAAGUAUUUCUCAAUUUCACAAUUACUCAACUAGCACGACUCUAGUAUCGCCACCUUUAUAUCGCAAAACUAUUGCAAGGAAUCAAACAUAUCAUAUUCAGUGAUCUACAAGUUUUAUGUAGGGUUUUAUGACUCACCAUGUGAAUGACCAGUUCCCGUCAUCUCUCUAAAUAGAUAUAAGUGAAGCACGAGAGUUUAAUUCUUUCUACAAAAGAUAUGCCCACGCUCUAACAAAUAUAAGUGAAGCAAAAGAGCAUUCUACAAAUGGCGGUUGUCUAUGUAAAGAGAAACAGGCAAUCCAAGCUUCAAAUGAUAUAAGUGAAGCACAUGAAGCAUUCUAUAAAGCCAUACUCAAAAGAUAUAAGUGAAGUGCAAUGAGCAUUCUAUAAAUCAACCAAGGCCUAUCUCAUACCAGCAUGGUGCAUAAAAGAAAAGUGAAAACUAAAUGCAAAAGACGCUCCAAGAUUUGCACAUAUCACAUGAAUGAAACGAAUCCGAAAACAUACCGAUAUUUGUUGAAGAAAGAGGGGAUGCCUUCCGGGGCAUCCCCAAGCUUAGACGCUUGAGUCUCCUUAAAUAUUUACUUGGGGUGCCUCGGGCAUCCCCAAGCUUGAGCUCUUGCCUCUCUUCCUUCUCACAUCGAGACCUUCUCGAUCAUCGAACACUUCAUCCACACAAAACUCCAAUAGAAAACUCGGUAAGAUCCGUUAGUAUAAUAAAGCAAAUCACUACUCUAAGUACUGUUGCAAACCAAUUCAUAUUUUGUUUUUGCAUUGUGUCUACUGUAAUAUAACUUUUUCAUGGCUUAAUCCACUGAUAUAAAUCGAUAGUUUCAUCAAAACAAGCAAACUAUGCAUCAAAAACAGAAUCUGUCUAAAACCGAACAGUCUGUAAUAAUCUGAACAUUCACCAUACUUCUGAUACUUGAAAAAUUCUGACAAAAUUAGGAAAAAUAAAAAAUUUGUACAGAAAGACAGUGCAAAAAGAAUCAGAACCGUUUGACGUUCCAGUAAAAAAAUUAAAAAUCACGCACUACAGCCAAAGUUUCUGUCCUGCACCGUACAAACCAACAAGCAUUGUAAACAUCCUAAAGGCAAACCUUGGCACAUUAUUUUUUAUUCCUAAGCUUUAUAAAAGCACUCAACAGAAAUAAAUGACUCUCUAAAACUUCCGGGUUGUCUCCCUGGCAGCGCUUUCUUUAAAGCCAUUAAGCUAGGCAUAUAGUGCUCGAGUAGUGAAUCCACCCGGAUCCCAAGGUAUAUCAAAGCCAAUUUUAAUUAGAAAUGAUUUGGCAUUUAGUAGUGAGCACAAAGCAACAUAUAUCAAGCAAUGACGAAGUCUAACUCUCUUCCUAUGCAUCGGCAUGUCAUAAAAGAACAAUUCAUCCACACAUAGUAAAGGCCAAUGCAUAGUAUAAACAGUUUCUUGCAAUUUUAUCGUGUUGGAAACAUAGAGAGGUGGAGAUAUAGUUCCUCUCUCAUAAUAAUUGCAAGUAGGAGCAGCAAGCACAUGCAUAUUAUAUCUAUCAAAAUCAUCAUGUGUAACGGUAAAAGGCAACCCAUCAAUAUAAUCCUUAAUAAAUGCAAACUUCUCCGAUAUAGUGUAGUCGGGAGAAUUCAAAAAGAUAAUAGGACUAUCAUGCGUGGGUGCAAUAGCAACAAUUUCAUGUUUAACAUAAGGAACUAUAGCAAGUUCAUCUCCAUAAGCAUAAUUCAUAUUGGCAUCUUGGCCACAUGCAUAGCAAGAAUCAUCAAAAAGGGAUAUUUCAAGAGAAUCAAUGGGAUCAUAAUAGUCAUCAUAGCAAUCAUCCUUCGGUAAACACGAAGGGAAAUUAAACAAUGUAUGAGUUGAAGAGUUACUCUCAUUAGAAGGUGGGCACGGGUAGCUAAUCCGCUCUUCCUCCUUUUGUUCUUCGCUCUCCUCAUCAUCUUUUUCAUCCAAUGAGCUGACAGUUUCAUCAAUUUCUUCUUCCAUAGACUCCUGCAAAAUAUUGGUCUCUUCUUGGAUAGCGGAGUAGUCCUCAAUAUAUGGUUCAACAUAGGCAUUAGAAGCAUAAUUAUCAUAGCAAUAUUUAAGUAUGGCAAAAUUUUCAGAUUUGUAAAGAGUAGCAUCAUACGUUUCAAUCAAAGAAGCAAUUUUAUAAGCACCCUUAAAAGCAACAAAUUCUUCAAUUUGUUGAAUAUCAUAGUAAUUAUAAACACCCUUAGCAUACGAAGAUAGGAUUCCAUUAUCAAUAAACUCACAUUGGUAGGGGAGGUGUUUCUACAUAUAACAUAAAUUCCAAGCAUAGCAUUGCAAACGAUGAAUUGGACCCAAUAGAAUUUCCCUUUUUCAGAUAUUCGCUGUCGCACAUAACAAGCAUGCUCAUCUAAAGAUUUGCCCUCAACUAAGCUAGUUGGGGUUUCACCAUGAGCACAAAGGGAUCGAAGAUGAUCCAAGUAAAAAGCUUCAGGAGUGUGAUAGAUUUUGAGUGGUUCUUCAACCAUUGGUUCAGUAGGUACAACUACUUUUUUGGUAUUUUGCGUUUCCUACCCAUAACUAAAGAUAGAAAACAACUAAGAACAACAAAUAAAAAUUACUUAGUGAUAAAGCAAACAAGUACACACGAGAAUAUUCACCCCACGCUAUAACUCCCCGGCAACAGCGGCAGAAAAAGGUCUUGAUAACCCACAAGUAUAGGGGAUCAAUUGUAGCCUCUUUCGAUAAGUAAGAGUGUCGAACCCAACGAGGAGCUAAAGGUAGAACAAAUAUUCCCUCAAGUUAUAUCGACCACCGAUAGAAUUGUACGCACACUUGACGUUCGCUUUAUCGAAAACAAGUAUGAAACUAGAAGUACUUUGUAGGUGUUUUUGGAUAGGUUUGCAAGAAUAUAAAGAGAGCGUAAAUAAAAAAUAGGGGCUGUUUAGAUAAAGACACAACUAAAUUAGUUUUAGUAAAGAGCUUGUUGUCACGAGAAAGUUAUUUGUCCCUAGGCAAUCAAUAACUAGACCGGUAAUCAUUAUUGCAAUUUUAUUUGAGGAAGAGGCAUAAGCUAACAUACUUUCUCUACUUGGAUCAUAUGCACUUAUGAUUGGAACUCUAGCAAGCAUCCGCAACUACUAAAGAUCAUUAAGGUAAAACCCAACCAUAGCAUUAAAGCAUCAAGUCCCCUUUAUCCCAUACACAAACAACCUACUUACUCGGGUCCGUGCUUCUGUCACUCACGCCACCCACCAUAAGCAAAUCAUGAACAUAUUGCAAACCCUACACCGGGAAUCCCUCACGCUUGCGUGACAUGGAGAGCACCAUAGGACAGCACCAAUAAUAAAACAUGCAACUCAAACCAAUCUUGAUCAUUAAAUAGCCCAUAGGACAAAACGAAUCUACUCAAACAUCAUAGGAUAGCCAUACAUCAUUGGGAAAUAAUAUAUAGCGUUGAGCACCAUGUUUAAGUAGAGAUUACAGCGGGUAAGAGAGAGGUUACACCGCUGCAUAGAGGGGGGAAGAGUUGGUGAUGAUGGCGGUGAAGUUGUUGGUGAAGAUUGCGGUGAUGAUGAUGGCCACGGCGGUGUUCCGGCGUCACCGGAAGAGAAGGGGAGAGGGGGCCCCUUCGUCUUCUUCUUCCUUGACCUCCUCCCUAGAUGGGAGAAGGGUUUCCCCUCUGGUCCUUGGCCUCCAUGGCGUGGGAGGGGCGAGAGCCCCUCCGAGAUUGGAUCCGUCUCUCUGUCUCUCUCUGUUUCUGCGUUCUAUUCUGCUGCCCUUUCACCGUUUCGUAUAUAUAUGGAGAUCCGUAACUCCGAUUGGACUGAAACCUUCGCCGUGAUUUUUUUACCAAAAAUUAGCUUUCUUGCGGCCGAAGAAGGGCAUCAACCGCCUUACGGGUGGCCCACGAGGGUCAGGGGCGUGCCCAGGGGGCAGGGGCGCCCCCCUGCCUCGUGGCCACCUCGGGCACUGUCUCGCGUGGAUUUUUCUUCCGGAAUUUUCCAAAUAUUCCAAAAAUAAGCUCCAUCCAUUUUUAUCCCAUUUGGAUUCCGUUUGAUAUGGAUAUUCUGCGAAACAUAAAACUUGCAACAAACAGGAACUGGCACUGGGCACUGGAUCAAUAUGUUAGUCCCAAAAAUAGUAUAAAAAGUUGCCAAAAAGUAUAUGAAAGUUGAAUAAUAUUGGCAUGGAACAAUAAAAAAUUAUAGAUACGACGGAGACGUAUCACGGUGGAAUUAGGUUUUCGUGGAUGCUUCUGUUGGUUUGGGGGUACGUAGGUAUAUAUAGGAGGAAGAAGUACGUCGGUGGAGCAACGUGGGCCCCAUGAGGGUGGAGGGCGCGCCCCGGGGGGUAGGCGCGCCCCCUGCCUCGUGCUCUCCUGGUUGCUUUCUUGAUGUAGGGUCAAAGUCCUCUGGAUCACGUUCGUUCCGAAAAUCACGUUCUCAAAGGUUUCAUUCCGUUUGGACUCCGUUUGAUAUUCUUUUUCUGCGAAACUCUGAAAUAGGCAAAAAACAGCAAUUUGGGCUGGGCCUCCGGUUCAUAGGUUAGUCCCGAAAAUAAUAUAAAAGUGUAUAACAAACCCCAUUAAACAUCAAAAACAGAAUAUAAUAUAGCAUGAAGCAAUCAAAAAUUAUAGAUACGUUGGAGACGUAUCAACCAUGCCCAAGCUUAAUUCCUGCUCGUCCUCGAGUAGGUAAAUGAUAAAAACAGAAUUUUUGAUGCGGAAUGCUACUUGGCAUAAUUUUUUAAUGUAACCCUCUUAAUUGUGGUAUGAAUAUUCAGAUCCGAAAGAUUCAAGAUAAAAGUUUAAUAUUGACGUAAAAAUAAUAAUACUUCAAGCAUACUAACUAAGCAAUUAUGUCUUCUCAAAAUAACAUGGCCAAAGAAAGUUCAUCCCUACAAAAUCAUAUAGUUUAGUCAUGCUCCAUUUUCGUCACACAAGAAUGCUCUCAUCAUGCACAACCCCGAUGACAAGCCAAGCAAUUGUUUCAUACUUUAGUAAUCUCAAACUUUUUCAACCUUCAAGCAAUACAUGAGCGUGAGCCAUGGAUAUAGCACUAUGGGUGGAAUAUAAUAUAAUGAUGGGGGUUAUGUGGAGAAGAAAAAAAGGAGAAAGUCUCACAUCAACGCGGCUAAUCAAUGGGCUAUGGAGAUGCCCAUCGAUUGAUGUUAAUGCAAGGAGUAGGGAUUGCCAUGCAACGGAUGCACUAGAGCUAUAAAUGCAUAAGAGCUCAACCAAAGAAACUAAGUGGGUGUGAAUCCAACUUGCUUGCUCAGGAAGACCUAGGGCAUUUGAGGAAGCCCAUUGUUGGAAUAUACAAGCCAAGUUCUAUAAUGAAAAAUUCCCACUAGUAUAUGAAAGUGACAAAACAAGAGACUCUCUAUCAUGAAGAUCAUGGUGCUACUUUAAAGCACAAGUGUGGAAAAAAAGGAUAGUAGCAUUGUCCCUUUAUAUAUAUAUAUAUAUAUAUUUGGGCCUCUUUUUUAUUUGGCCUUUCUCUAUUUUUUGGGACAAUGCUCUAUGAAUGAUGAUCAUCACACUUCUAUUUAUUUGCAACUCAAUGAUUACAACUCGAUACUAGAACAAGGUAUGACUCUAUAUGAACGCCUCCGGCGGUAUACCGGGAUAGGCAAUGAAUCAAGAGUGACAUGUAUGAAAAAUUAUGAACGAUGGCUUUGCCACAAAUACGACGUCAACUACAUGAUCAUGCAAAGCAAUAUGACAAUGAUGAACAUGUCAUGAUAAACGGAACGGUGGAAAGUUGCAUGGCAAUAUAUCUCGGAAUGGCUAUGGAAAUGCCAUAAUAGGUAGGUAUGGUGGCUGUUUUGAGGAAGAUAUAAGGAGGUUUAUGUGUGAUAGAGCGUAUCAUAUCACGGGGUUUGGAUGCACCGGCGAAGUUUUCACCAACUCUCAAUGUGAGAAAGGGCAAUGCACGGUACCGAAGAGGCUAGCAAUGAUGGAAUGGUAAGAGUGCGUAUAAUCCAUGGACUCAACAUUAGUCAUAAAGAACUCACAUACUUAUUGCAAAAAUCUACUAGUCAUCAAAAACCAAGCAUUACGCGCAUGCUCCUAGGGGGAUAGAUUGGUAGGAAAAGACCAUCGCUCGUCCCCGACCGCCACUCAUAAGGAAGACAAUCAAAGAACACCUCAUGUUUCAAAUUUGUUACAUAACGUUUACCAUACGUGCAUGCUACGGGACUGACAAACUUCAACACAAGUAUUUCUCAAUUUCAAAACUACUCAACUAGCACAACUUUAAUAUCACUACCUCCAUAUCUCAAAACAAUCAUCAAGCAUCAAACUUCUCUUAGUAUUCAGCACACUCAUAAGAAAGUUUUUACUAGUCUUGAAUACCUAGCAUAGUAGGAUUAAUUUUCCUAUUUAAGCAAAUUACCAUGCUGUUUAAGACUCUCAAAAUAAUAUAAGUGAAGCAUGAGAGAAUAAUAGUUUCUAUAAAACAAAACCAC
This 6447-nucleotide long non-coding RNA is filed under the name Triticum aestivum (bread wheat). RNAcentral's name for it is "long non-coding RNA (TAES_LNC028655)". Lineage: Eukaryota; Viridiplantae; Streptophyta; Magnoliopsida; Poales; Poaceae. The record is from RNAcentral.